GACGAACGCUGGCGGCGUGCUUAACACAUGCAAGUCGAACGGAAAGGCCCUGCUUUUGUGGGGUGCUCGAGUGGCGAACGGGUGAGUAACACGUGAGUAACCUGCCCUUGACUUUGGGAUAACUUCAGGAAACUGGGGCUAAUACCGGAUAGGAGCUCCUGCUGCAUGGUGGGGUUGGAAAGUUUCGGCGGUUGGGGAUGGACUCGCGGCUUAUCAGCUUGUUGGUGGGGUAGUGGCUUACCAAGGCUUUGACGGGUAGCCGGCCUGAGAGGGUGACCGGCCACAUUGGGACUGAGAUACGGCCCAGACUCCUACGGGAGGCAGCAGUGGGGAAUAUUGCACAAUGGGCGGAAGCCUGAUGCAGCAACGCCGCGUGCGGGAUGACGGCCUUCGGGUUGUAAACCACUUUCGCCUGUGACGAAGCGUGAGUGACGGUAAUGGGUAAAGAAGCACCGGCUAACUACGUG
Molecule: ribosomal RNA, 467 nt
Filed under: uncultured bacterium
Lineage: Bacteria
Description: partial 16S ribosomal RNA
Rfam family: Bacterial small subunit ribosomal RNA
Source: RNAcentral